RNAcentral lists this long non-coding RNA (344 nucleotides) under Cavia porcellus (domestic guinea pig). RNAcentral's name for it is "lncRNA (ENSCPOG00000033266.1)". The record is from RNAcentral. Lineage: Eukaryota; Metazoa; Chordata; Mammalia; Rodentia; Caviidae.
CCGAGGCUUUGCACGUGACAGCCUGUUCUCCACGUGAAUGGAAUACUCAGUGUCAAUGUGGAAGCCUGGUGACUUGGAUUAUUACUGGUUGGAUCCUGCCACGUGGCACAGCCGGGAAACAUCGCCUAUUAGUUCGCAUCCUGUGACGUGGCAGCCAUCUAAAGAAGGGGAUCGAUUAAUUGGACGUGUUAUUCUUAACAAAAGAACAACCAUGCCCAAAGAAUCAGGUGCAUUGUUGGGCCUAAAAGUUGUUGGAGGAAAAAUGACAGACUUAGGACGGCUUGGCGCUUUCAUCACCAAAGUAAAGAAGGGUAGCCUGGCAGAUGUGGUUGGACACCUCCGAG